This 253-nucleotide ribosomal RNA is filed under the name uncultured bacterium. Its description in RNAcentral is "partial 16S ribosomal RNA". It matches the Rfam family "Bacterial small subunit ribosomal RNA", at positions 524 to 776 of the family's 1533-position model. The record is from RNAcentral.
GACAGAGGGUGCAAACGUUGUUCGGAAUUACUGGGCGUAAAGCGAGUGUAGGCGGUCUCAAAAGUCGGGUGUGAAAGCCCUGGGCUCAACCCAGGAAGUGCACUCGAAACUGCGAGGCUAGAGUAUCGGAGAGGUUGGUGGAAUUCCUGGUGUAGCGGUGAAAUGCGCAGAUAUCAGGAGGAACACCGAUGGCGAAGGCAGGUCUCUGGGCAUUAACUGACGCUGAGGAGCGAAAGCAUGGGGAGCGAACAGG